Molecule: ribosomal RNA, 496 nt
Filed under: uncultured bacterium
Lineage: Bacteria
Description: partial 16S ribosomal RNA
Rfam family: Bacterial small subunit ribosomal RNA
Source: RNAcentral
GAUGAACGCUGGCGGCGUGCCUAAUACAUGCAAGUCGAGCGAACGGACGAGAAGCUUGCUUCUCUGAUGUUAGCGGCGGACGGGUGAGUAACACGUGGAUAACCUACCUAUAAGACUGGGAUAACUUCGGGAAACCGGAGCUAAUACCGGAUAAUAUUUUGAACCGCAUGGUUCAAAAGUGAAAGACGGUCUUGCUGUCACUUAUAGAUGGAUCCGCGCUGCAUUAGCUAGUUGGUAAGGUAACGGCUUACCAAGGCAACGAUGCAUAGCCGACCUGAGAGGGUGAUCGGCCACACUGGAACUGAGACACGGUCCAGACUCCUACGGGAGGCAGCAGUAGGGAAUCUUCCGCAAUGGGCGAAAGCCUGACGGAGCAACGCCGCGUGAGUGAUGAAGGUCUUCGGAUCGAAAAACUCUGUUAUUAGGGAAGAACAUAUGUGUAAGUAACUGUGCACAUCUUGACGGUACCUAAUCAGAAAGCCACGGCUAACUACGU